UCCCUGGUGGCUCAGAGGUUAAAGCAUCUGCUUGCAAUGCAGGAGACCUGGGUUCGAUCCCUGGGUGGGGAA
Bos taurus (domestic cattle) is the source of this 72-nucleotide non-coding RNA. Lineage: Eukaryota; Metazoa; Chordata; Mammalia; Artiodactyla; Bovidae. The record is from Rfam.